Molecule: ribosomal RNA, 253 nt
Filed under: uncultured bacterium
Lineage: Bacteria
Description: partial 16S ribosomal RNA
Rfam family: Bacterial small subunit ribosomal RNA
Source: RNAcentral
GACAGAGGUCCCGAGCGUUAGGCGGAAUCACUGGGCUUAAAGCGUGUGUAGGCGGAUCGUUAAGUGCCUUGUGAAAUCCCACGGCUUAACCGUGGAACUGCUUGGCAUACUGGCGGUCUUGAGCAACCUAGGGGCAAGCGGAACAAAUGGUGGAGCGGUGAAAUGCGUAGAUAUCAUUUGGAACGCCAAUGGUGAAAACAGCUUGCCGGGGGUUUGCUGACGCUGAGACACGAAAGCCAGGGGAGCGAACGGG